Molecule: microRNA, 22 nt
Filed under: Mus musculus (house mouse)
Lineage: Eukaryota; Metazoa; Chordata; Mammalia; Rodentia; Muridae
Description: mmu-miR-196a-1-3p
Gene: mmu-miR-196a-1-3p
Source: miRBase by way of RNAcentral
CAACGACAUCAAACCACCUGAU